Molecule: ribosomal RNA, 530 nt
Filed under: uncultured bacterium
Lineage: Bacteria
Description: bacterial SSU rRNA
Rfam family: Bacterial small subunit ribosomal RNA
Source: RNAcentral
AAUAGAUACCCCGGUAGUCCACGCCGUAAACGAUGAGUGCUAAGUGUUAGAGGGUUUCCGCCCUUUAGUGCUGCAGCUAACGCAUUAAGCACUCCGCCUGGGGAGUACGGCCGCAAGGCUGAAACUCAAAGGAAUUGACGGGGGCCCGCACAAGCGGUGGAGCAUGUGGUUUAAUUCGAAGCAACGCGAAGAACCUUACCAGGUCUUGACAUCCUCUGCCAACCCUAGAGAUAGGGCGUUCCCCUUCGGGGGACAGAGUGACAGGUGGUGCAUGGUUGUCGUCAGCUCGUGUCGUGAGAUGUUGGGUUAAGUCCCGCAACGAGCGCAACCCUUGAUCUUAGUUGCCAGCAUUCAGUUGGGCACUCUAAGGUGACUGCCGGUGACAAACCGGAGGAAGGUGGGGAUGGACGUCAAAUCAUCAUGCCCCUUAUGACCUGGGCUACACACGUGCUACAAUGGAUGGUACAAAGAGCUGCGAACCCGCGAGGGUAAGCCAAUCUCAUAAAGCCAUUCUCAGUUCGGAUUGUAGG